UCAUACGGGAGGCAGCAGUGGGGAAUAUUGCACAAUGGGGGAAACCCUGAUGCAGCCAUGCCGCGUGUGUGAAGAAGGCCUUCGGGUUGUAAAGCACUUUCAGUUGUGAGGAAAAGUUAGUAGUUAAUACCUGCUAGCCGUGACGUUAACAACAGAAGAAGCACCGGCUAACUCCGUGCCAGCAGCCGCGGUAAUACGGAGGGGGCGAGCGUUAAUCGGAAUUACUGGGCGUAAAGCGCACGCAGGCGGUUUGUUAAGCUAGAUGUGAAAGCCCCGGGCUCAACCUGGGAUGGUCAUUUAGAACUGGCAGACUAGAGUCUUGGAGAGGGGAGUGGAAUUCCAGGUGUAGCGGUGAAAUGCGUAGAUAUCUGGAGGAACAUCAGUGGGGAAGGCAACUCCCUGGCCAAAGACUGACUCUCAUGUGCGAAAGUGUGGGUAGCGAACAGGAUUAGAUACCCUGGUAGUCCACACCGUAAACGCUGUCUACUAGCUGUGUGUGUCUUUAAGAGCGGCGGAGCGAAGCAUACCCCCUAAGUAAACCGCC
This 544-nucleotide ribosomal RNA is filed under the name bacterium A3S_VP5_D7. Its description in RNAcentral is "bacterial SSU rRNA". It matches the Rfam family "Bacterial small subunit ribosomal RNA", at positions 337 to 873 of the family's 1533-position model. The record is from RNAcentral.